GAUGAACGCUGGCGGCGUGCCUAAUACAUGCAAGUAGAGCGAACAGACGAGGAGUUUGCUCCCCUGACGUUAGCGGCGGACGGGUGAGUAACACGGGGAUAACCUACCUAAAAGACGGGGAUCACUUCGGGAAACCGGCUCAUACCCCGGAAAAUAUAUUGAACCGCAUGGUUCAAUAAUGAAAGACGGUUUCGCUGCUACUUAUAGAUGGAUCCGCGCAGCAUUAGCUAGUUGGUAAGGUAACGGCUUACCAAGGCAACGAUGCGUAGCCGACCUGAGAGGGUGAUCGGCCACACUGGAACUGAGACACGGUCCAGACUCCUACGGGAGGCAGCAGUAGGGAAUCUUCCGCAAUGGGCGGAAGCCUGACGGAGCAACGCCGCGUGAGUGAUGAAGGUCUUCGGAUCGUAAAACUCUGUUAUUAGGGAAGAACAAGUGUGUAAGUAGCUAUGCAAGUCUGGGCGGUACCUUAUCAGAAAGCCACGGCUAACUACGUG
RNAcentral lists this ribosomal RNA (497 nucleotides) under uncultured bacterium. Its description in RNAcentral is "partial 16S ribosomal RNA". It matches the Rfam family "Bacterial small subunit ribosomal RNA", at positions 28 to 507 of the family's 1533-position model. The record is from RNAcentral.